RNAcentral lists this transfer-messenger RNA (403 nucleotides) under Anaerolineae. RNAcentral describes it as "DUEH01 sp011192195 Standard tmRNA". It matches the Rfam family "transfer-messenger RNA". From Rfam's summary of the family: Bacterial tmRNA, also known as 10Sa RNA or SsrA, is named for its dual tRNA and mRNA-like properties. Its role is to liberate the mRNA from a stalled ribosome. RNAcentral also lists the same sequence under 1 other name. The record is from RNAcentral. Lineage: Bacteria; Bacillati; Chloroflexota.
GGGGAUGAAAUGGUUUCGACAGGUAUGUGAAAGGAUAUGAACUGCAGGUCAAGCCGAGCUAACUUGUGAAACUGGCUCACAACAUUAAUUGCCAAGAAAGUUCCUGCUUUCAACGGUAGCUCUUACAACGCUUUGCCCCUCGCGGUAUAGCAGCGUCUGAGCAACUAUGACCCUUAAUCCGGUCACGGGCUGAGUCCCCUUCCCUCGAGAGGGGGCGCUGCCCGACACCAAAAUCGAGGUGCGUUGCGACAACGCCGAUACCCCGCAGCCAAGACUCAUCGGCUGGUCUGGAUGAACUCCGUUGGCCGACGAAAUCCGGACAAGAAACCGAGCGCCAACUAAGCUUGUAGACGUUCAUAGCCAGCAUAUUUGGACCCGGGUUCGACUCCCGGCAUCUCCACUG